UGCCAGCCGCCGCGGUAAUACGGAGGGUGCAAGCGUUAUUCGGAAUUAUUGGGCGUAAAGGGCGCGCAGGCGGUCUUGUCCGUCAGGUGUGAAAGCUCGGGGCUCAACCCCGGAAGUGCACUUGAAACAGCAAGACUUGAAUACGGUAGAGGAGAGAGGAAUUCCUGGUGUAGAGGUGAAAUUCGUAGAUAUCAGGAGGAACACCGAUGGCGAAGGCAUCUCUCUGGGCCGAUAUUGACGCUGAGGCGCGAAGGCGUGGGGAGCAAACAGGAUUAGAUA
This 279-nucleotide ribosomal RNA is filed under the name uncultured bacterium. Its description in RNAcentral is "partial 16S ribosomal RNA". It matches the Rfam family "Bacterial small subunit ribosomal RNA", at positions 506 to 784 of the family's 1533-position model. The record is from RNAcentral.